CAUAUACAGGUAUAUACACAUUACAUACUACAUAUAUGGCCAUGUAAAUGGGUAUGUCAACCACUGCAGUAUCCAGAUGGUGAUCCAGCCUUCCAAACUGAACCAAGGCACUAGUAAUGUAUUGCCAUGGUUAUUUUGUCCUACUGCCCAAAACACAGUGGAAAGGUCUGCAGGGAGAAGCACAUUCCUUGAACUGUGAGGUAAAGGUGGUUUAGGGCAGCAGCUACCAGCCCAGAGCAGGGUUCACUCAGCUCCAAGAUCUAACCUGGGUAGGGGUGUGGAAUGGGGCCACCUGCUUAAAUGCCUCAAGGUGUGUUUCGUGAGGGGGUUUAACUGGCUCAGCCUACUGCUUUCCUGCCAGGGUCAAGAGGGCUUUUUUUCAAGUAGCAGACAGUGAAGGAAUCUGGAGGAGACUGUCAUGUACAGUAAAAGAAAGAGGUGGUCUCGGGUAAGGAGCCUGUGGUUAUGUGCUGACCUGGAAGAGUAAGCAGGGAAGAGUGGGCUAACUACAGCAAUUUGAUAGAGGAGCAGGAAUGGCAGCAGAAGAGGAAUGUGCUGGUGCGUUCAUCCUGGAAGUAGUCAGGGCCCCUGUUUGUUCCCAGUGAAAUGGUAUGGCAGUCACACUGUAGGCAUCCCAUUGGGCUGCCAGGCAGACUCGGAACUCAACAUCAUGGAUAAAAGCAGGAAUAAAAGAAACAGGCUCAUGUUUGUACAAAACCAGCUUAGCACAAGGAAGGUGUCAGCAGCCAUGGGUCUACCUAGAAGAGCAAAGACAGCUGCUGGGCAUGUGAGCAGUCUGGCUGUACCCUCCCAGGUGAGCUUGUUGGGUCUCAGCAGGACACCUCUUCUGGGGACACAGGGUCCAUGGGGCCCAGACAUGAAGGUCCCACCCUGCACCCAGGAGGGAAGCUGCAGAGUGGGUCCCCCUUGGGCCUGGGCCCUGCUGCAGUGGUGCCUGCACUGCAAGGUGCCUGAGCAGCAGCGCUGUUCUCUUGUGGCGUGAAAGCCCCCAUAGCAAGUGGCAGUGGAGAUCUAAGCAAUGCCAGGUGGGGAG
This is a long non-coding RNA of Pezoporus flaviventris, 1054 nucleotides long. RefSeq lists it as uncharacterized. The transcript is spliced from 3 exons. The record is from RefSeq and is a predicted model, not a curated record. Lineage: Eukaryota; Metazoa; Chordata; Aves; Psittaciformes; Psittacidae.